This 994-nucleotide small RNA is filed under the name Pongo abelii (Sumatran orangutan). Its description in RNAcentral is "processed transcript". The record is from RNAcentral. Lineage: Eukaryota; Metazoa; Chordata; Mammalia; Primates; Hominidae.
CACUGGCGGUGGCUCCCUGGUCCUGCUGUCCCUUUCAAACUGGCUUUUUCUCAUUCCUUUGACUCCGCCAGACUUCGUUGCCCCCCAUGACCUGGUGUUGGGUCUGAUCACCCCAACAUUCCUGGCUGCCCAAUGUGUGACAACGAAGACCUGGGUGAAGGAAUGCUAGAGUGUGUGAAAGCGUAGGACGCAUCGUCAAAGGACACCCGAGGACAUCUCAAAGAAGCUCGGCGGGAAAGCUAAGCAAUUGGAAGAACCAAGAACUAAGAUCAGAAUUGUUUGAAUCAUCAGAAUCGUCUCUUUUGAAAAAUCGAUUCAUCAAAUGAAUCUUCAGCCAACAACUGUUCAAGAAGGAUGUAAAUAUCACAGUGUUAGAUGAACUUUCUCAUUGACACCUGACAGGAAGAGCCUCUGUAUUGGACCACCAUGUUUGUGCUCACUGUGUAGUAACAAACCAACACACCAAAAUAGCGGGAGUUGCCACUGACAAAGAGUUGAAUAAUCAAAUGAUGGCCAAAGGAGGAGGUGUGAAUUCAGAGGCAGAAUUACUCCCCAUUUUCUUCCCUCUCCUGUGUCUCUCCCCUGAGGCUUCUCUGCAAAGCAUCACUGCCCAGCUUAGUGUCUGUCCUGGGCACUGGUAAUAAUGUGGUACCAUUCAUCCUCUCCUAGCAUUUGAUCACUCAUCAGGAGCCCUCAGCUCCAUGGGGAAGAGGACAGAAGAAACCAGUUCCGAGAAGUAAAGCUUUGGAGGUUACAAAAUUAGCAAUAGAAGCUGGGUUCCACCAUAUAGAUUCUGCUCAUUUAUACAAUAAUGAGGAGCAGGUUGGACUGGCCAUCCGAAGCAAGAUUGCAGAUGGCAGUGUGAAGAGAGAAGACAUAUUCUACACUUCAAAGCUUUGGUCCACUUUUCAUCGACCAGAGUUGGUCCGACCAGCCUUGGAAAACUCGCUGAAAAAAGCUCAAUUGGACUAUGUUGACCUCUAUCUUAUUCAUU